UUUGCCUCUUUUAUCAUUUUCAUCAUCUCAACAAAAGAAAAAAGAAAGCUUCCAAUCUCAUUUUAUCUCCAUUACUUUCUACACCAAAAUUGGGUCCCACAACCCGGUUCUUUGUCUAGAGGAUAACAGUUGAGUACUAGUGGUGGUCUCGGUUAGAAUUGGUAAGAAGAUAUCGAACCUUUUGAAAGCUUCAAAGGUAAUAUUUCUUAAAACCCUAAUUUGAUUAGUUUAUGGUUAUAUGUUAAUUGUGGCAAUUAGGGUAGAAAUUCGAUUCUUUUUCGCUGUGCAUGACUUAGGUCUAUCAUGUGGUAUCAGAGCAUGCUUCAUUUUUACCCAAUUGCAUGUGGUGGGUUCAUAUUUAUUAGAUAAAUUUUGUUUUGAACUAAAAUGGAUAUAUUAUGUGAUUUUGGCUCUAGAUUAAGUGUUUUUAUUCUAAUUAUUGUAAUUAGCCUUGUUAAUGGCUUAUUUUAUUGUUGCAAAGUGUUUGUAAUUUUAAAAAAAAAUAAAAAAGUCAUUAGAGUUGAAGUUAGGCUGUAACCGGUUCAACCGGGUGAGAGAAUUGAAAAAAAAUGAAGAAAAGAAGGUCACAGACCCGAAAACCCGCUUCGCGACCCGCACGCGCCCGCGCGCCCUCCUGCGCCCGUGCCGCCUGUGCCCGCGCGCCCGCCUGUGUCCGACCCGUGUGCGCCUGGGCCGGUUCAACCAAUAAAUUUGGUUUUUGGCCGGUUCAAGCGGUUUCGGUUGGUUUUUCAGCCGGUUCGAAGUUUUUGGGAGUGUUCUGUACUACACCAAAGUAAUUAUUAAUAAUUUAGUACUUAGCUUAAUUUAGAGCCAAAAAUCAGUCCAUUUAGGGUGUUUUUUUUAUUUAUGCAUGUGAUGUAUGAUUAAAUUACUUUAAAUUUGUAUGUGCAUUUUGAAUGUCAUAUAGAUUAAAAUCCCACCAUAGGUUACCAUGUUCAUGCAUUAAAAUGUAUGAUAUAAAGGUUAUAUAUUGUAUGCAUGUUAAUUGAUUAAUAUGGUAAUUAAUUAAUAUGAUUAAUUAAUUAUUUAAUUAAUUAAGUUAUUCUUGAUUAAAUAUGAUUUAAUCAAAUUAAUUAAUUAUUUUGAUUUAAUUUAAUUAAAAUGAUUUUAAUUAAAGUUAAAUAAAUAAAAUCCAUAUUAAUUGAUUGUUUUUAUAAUUAUAUAUUGAUAAAAUGAUUGAUUAAGUUUAAAAGUUUUUAUAAGUGUUAUAAAAUAAAUUAGACUUUUAAAAUCAAUAACAAAGAUUAAAUGCAUGCUCACUUAGGUUAAACAUAUCUUCCAUUUUUCAUAGAAAUAGGUCGAUAUCUUGUAAAACUGGUUACAAAAGGCUCACCUGGUUCAAUCUUGUCAACAAGUCAGAUAAGAUGACUAAGGUUGGAGGUUCUUAAGUUGACGGUUUACGGAACACCUCCUACCUGGAGAUCGUAAUCAGUUCUUGAGCCUAGUUAACCUAGUUUUAUGAGCAUUCGUGAGAGGUGUGAGGUAAUAAAAAUGGUUUUUCACCUAGACAUCAUAGGUUAAAAUCCUGUAUAAUGGUUAUACUUGGAUGUUUUAUCUAGACUUAAGAUUUGUUUAAGUUAGCCUAAAUAUAAAUCUUGAAGCUUGGAUUACCCUAUUUUUUUUUUAGAACACUUCAACUAGAGAAAAAUAAUGUAUUUUAGCUCUAGUGUCCCUAAGAGUUCACACCGUGAGGUCCAUGCAGGGCUUUGUGCCGUGCAUAGGAGCGGCCUCCCUUCGGAGAGUGUUUGCAUGGAUCAAAAUCAAGGUGAAUAGGGGAAGUAGUUCAUAGUAAGUGGGUGAGGGAUUUGUGCAGCACAUCCCACGGUCUCUUCCAUUAGGUCGCACCGUGAGAUUUCUAUAAUAUGCCUGCUUGUCUGCCCUGGAGCGACGUUCCCUUCGGAGGGUUGUAUUAUAGGAUUCGGAACACCGCGAACUCCAAAUCUGGAUAGGUUUUCUUAGAUUAGUUUUCAUAAAUGAUUCUAAUCUAUAUCUGAAAAUGGUGGGUAACACUUACAAGAAUUACUAAGUUGUUAGUAUAUUCUUGACUAAAGUAGCGAUAACUAAGUGCUAUAAAGAAUAAAGCAGUUAUUCUAGAGAUAGCAUCUAGUCAAGAUUGUCUUGGUUCAAAGGAGGAAUAAUCAACUACCCUUCGGAGAAGUUGUUCUAAACCUUUGAAAUAUUGUUGCAAAAUACAAAUAAUGAAAGGGUACAUUAUUAGUAAUUGCUAAAUUAGAUUGGAUAUUUUUUAUGAUUAUAGUUUUUUCCUAAAAAGAAUAUGUUUGUUUUUCAGCAUGAAUAGCUCAAUAGUUCAACUUUUAGCUUCCGAAAAACUUAAUGGCGAUAAUUAUGCGGCUUGGAAAUCAAAUCUUAACACAAUACUAGUGGUUGACGAUUUAAGAUUUGUCUUAACUGAGGAAUGUCCUCAAAACCCUGCCUCUAAUGCUAACCGAACUAGUCGGGAUGCAUAUGAUCGAUGGAUAAAAGCUAAUGAAAAAGCCCGUGUCUACAUUCUUGCCAGCAUGUCUGAUGUAUUGGCAAAGAAACAUGAAUCCUUAGCCACGGCUAAAGAGAUUAUGGAUUCAUUAAGGGGAAUGUUUGGGCAACCAGAAUGGUCCUUAAGACACGAGGCAGUCAAAUACAUUUACACUAAGCGUAUGAAGGAAGGGACCUCUGUUAGAGAACAUGUUCUGGACAUGAUGAUGCACUUCAACAUCGCUGAAGUGAAUGGUGGUCCCAUCGAAGAGGUUAAUCAAGUUAGUUUUAUCUUAGAGUCUCUUCCGAAGAGCUUCAUUCCAUUCCAAACGAAUGCGUCUUUGAACAAGAUAGAAUUUAACUUGACAACCCUUCUGAAUGAACUCCAGCGAUUCCAAAACCUAACUAUGGGUAAAGGAAAACAAGUGGAAGCAAAUGUUGCUACCACAAAAAGAAAAUUUAUAAGAGGAUCGUCCUCUAAAACCAAAGCUGGACCCUCAAAACCUAAUGCUCAAAUAAAAAAGAAAAGGGAAAGAAAGACUCCCAAACAGAACAAGUAAAAAGCUGCAGAAAAAGGUAAGUGUUACCAUUGUGGCCAAAACGGGCACUGGUUAAGAAACUGCCCAAAAUACCUUGAAAAAAAAGGCAGAGAAGGAAACACAAGGUAAAUAUGAUUUACUAGUUGUAGAAACAUGUUUAGUGGAAUAUGAAAAUUGUACCUGGAUACUAGAUUCAGGAGCCACUAACCAUAUUUGCUUCUCAUUUCAGGAAAAUAGUUUUGGAAAAAGCUUUCAGAAGGCGAGAUCACUCUCAAGGUUGGAACAGGAGAGAUGGUCUCAGCUUCAGCAGUGGGAGAUUUAAAGUUGUUUUUUAGAGAUAGAUAUGUCAUACUUAAGAAUGUCUUAUAUGUACCUCAAAUGAAAAGAAAUUUAAUAUCUAUCUCUUGUCUUUAUGUAUAGAAUAUCUUUUGAAAUUAAUGAAGCGUUCAUUUUCUAUAAAGGUAUUCUAGUUUGUUCUGCUAUACUUGAAGACAACUUAUAUAAGUUAAGACCAACCAGAGCAAAUUUUGUCUUAAAUACUGAAAUAUUCAGAACAGCUGAAACUCAGAAUAAAAGACAAAAAGUUUCUUCUAAUGCCUAUUUAUGGCACUUAAGACUUGGUCACAUAAAUCUCAAUAGGAUUGGGAGAUUAGUUAAAAGUGGGCUUCUAAAUCAGUUAGAAAAUAAUACUUUACCUCUUUGUGAAUCUUGUUGAAGGAAAAAUGACCAAGAGAUCUUUUACUGGAAAAGGUCUAAGAGCCAAAAGACCCUUAGAGCUCGUACAUUCGGACCUUUGUGGACCAAUGAAUGUCAAAGCUCGAGGUGGAUAUGAAUAUUUCAUUAGCUUCAUUGAUGAUUAUUCAAGGUAUGGUCAUAUUUACCUAAUACAUCAUAAGUCUAAUAGUCUUGAAAAGUUCAAAGAAUAUAAGGCUGAAGUAGAAAACGAAUUAGGUAAAACAAUAAAAAUACUUCGAUCAGAUCGAGGUGGAGAGUAUAUGGACUUACGAUUCCGAGACUAUUUAAUAGAAAAUGGAAUCAAGUCACAACUCUCUGCACCUAGUACACCUCAACAGAACGGUGUAUCAGAAAGAAGAAACCGGACCUUGUUAGACAUGGUUCGCUCUAUGAUGAGUUUUUCUCAGAUGUCAGAUUCUUUUUUGGGAUAUGCUUUAGAAACAGCUGCUUAUAUUUUGAAAAAUGUUCCCUCUAAAAGUGUUUCAGAAACACCUUAUGAGCUAGAGAAAGGGCGUAAAGGCAGUUUACGUCAUUUUAGAAUUUGGGGUUGUCCACAAACGUGUUGGUACAAAAUCCUAAGAAAUUGGAACAUCGUUCAAAAUUAUGCUUUUUUAUAGGUUAUCCAAAAGAAUCAAGAGGUGGUUUGUUUUAUGAUCCUCAAGAAAAUAAAAUAUUUGUGUCAACAAAUGCCACAUUCUUAGAGGAAGACACAUCAGAGAUCAUCAACCUCGUAGUAAACUAGUAUUAAAAGAAAUUUCAAAAGAGUGCUAUAGAUAAACCUAGUUCAUCCACUAAAGUAGUUGAUAAGACUAGGAAUUGGUCAAUCACAUCCUUCUCAACAUGAGAGAGCCUCGACGUAGUGGGAGGGUUGUUCAUCAGCCUGAUCGCUAUUUGGGUUUAAUUGAAACUCAAGUCGUUCAUACCUGACGAUGGCAUAGAGGAUCCAUUAACCUAUAAACAGGCAAUGAAAGAUGUAGAUCGUGACCAAUGGAUCAAAGCCAUGGACCUCGAAAUGGAGUCUAUGUACUUUAAUUCUGUCUGGACUCUAGUAGAUCAACCAAAUGACGUAAAACCUAUUGGUUGUAAAUGGAUCUACAAGAGAAAACGAGACCAUGCCGGUAAAGUAAGACUUUCAAGGCUCGACUUGUGGCAAAGGGUUAUACCAGAGAGAGGGAGUAGACUAUGAGGAAACUUUCUCUCCGUUGCCAUGUUAAAGUCAAUUAGAAUACUCUUAUCCAUCGCCACUUUUUAUGAUUAUGAAAUUUGGCAGAUGGAUGUCAAGACAGCUUUUUUGAACGGUAAUCUUGAAGAGAGUAUCUAUAUGUCUAAACCAGAGGGGUUUAUAGAACAAGAUCAAGAACAAAAGGUUUGUAAGCUUAAAAAAUCCAUUUAUGGAUUAAAACAAGCUUCUAGAUCCUGGAAUAUAAGAUUUGAUACUGCGAUCAAAUCUUAUGGCUUUGAACAAAAUAUUGACGAGCCUAGUGUUUACAAAAGGUCGUCAAUUCCAUUAUAGCAUUUUUAGUCUUAUAUGUAGAUGAUAUUCUACUUAUUGGAAAUGACGUAGGAUAUCUUACUGAUAUCAAGAAAUGGCUAGCUAUGCAAUUUCAAAUGAAAGAUCUGGGAGAUGCACAAUACGUUCUCGGAAUCCAAAUUGUUCGAAACCGUAAGAACAAAACACUAGCCAUGUCUCAAGCAUCUUACAUAGACAAAAUGUUGUCUAGAUAUAAAAUGCAGAAUUCCAAAAAGGGUCUGCUACCGUACAGAUAUGGAAUUCAUUUGUCAAAGGAACAAUGUCCUAAGACACCUCAAGAAGUUGAGGAUAUGAGAAAUAUUCCCUAUACUUCCGCUGUUGGAAGUUGGACGUGAUCACUGGACAACCGUUAAAAACAUUCUACAUGCUCAUGUAUCGUACAAAGGAUCUGAUCCUUACUGGAUACACUGAUUCAGAUUUCCAAACUGAUAAAGAUGUUAGAAAGUCUACAUCAGAAUCAGUAUUUACUGUAAAUGGAGGAGCAGUAGUUUGGAGAAGCAUAAAGCAAACUUGUAUAGCUGAUUCCACAAUGUAAGCUGAUCAUUUUACAAAAGCCCUCAUGGCUAAAGUGUUUGAGGGUCACCUACACAGUUUAGGUGUACGAUGUUUGUAAACUAGGACAGGUGGGAGACUUAUUGGCCAUGUGCCCUAGUUUCAUAUAUAUUCUCUCACACCACAUCUCUCAUACCACUAGGAAUUUUAGUCCAAGUGGGAGUUUGUUGGAAUUUUUUGUCCUAAAACUCGUAGUUUGUAAAUCAUAUUCUGUUCAAUAAAGUUGUUAUUGAGAAAUUAAAUAUUAUAAUCUUAAAUCCAAUAAAUCAAGUUCAAGGCUAUUUUUUGAAUAAACUUGAACUUUAUGUGUAAACAUAAACGUGGAUCAAGUUCAAGUAUAUAGCCUAAAUAGUCUAUAGUAUAUGAAAUAAAGGUUGGGCGCCUUAUUUUGAGAAACUAUGGAUGUGGCCCACUUUGUAGUACAAACGAGGUGAUCCUAAUCGUUCAUGUAGAGACAUAAAAGUGGGGGCAUCCUAUGUAAAAUGUUUACAUAAGACUGAACCAUGAAUUAGUCAUUUUUACGUUAUAACACCGUUCACUGUUUAAAACUGACUAUCUCAAUUAUUGAUGACCUAGGUAACUUAGUCUUAAUCCUGAGUUAACUAUGAACUCCUGUUCACACGAGAUUAUCCUUAGAUCUGCAUAGGUGAGGGCAGCUCAUCAGCGUUGGCCCAAUAAGCCUCCCAUUUCAGGGGUAAGAUCGGGUGGAUAGCUGGGAACAUAGGGUACAAGAUGGAAUUCACUCCUACCCGCUUUAGGGUUAUUAGAUAGGUUGCUCUCUUAAGCACUGAAUCCAAGUCUUGAACAAGGGGCCCCACCCUCUUCAUUGGCCCGAGAGGGAUUAAGUUUAUAGGUUGAACCUUAAAACCAAUUGUUCAAUAGUGGAUUAGUGGGACUUAAGGACCAAGAUGUAAUCUUGGGGGUAAAACGGUAUUUUGAACCUAGCCAAGGUUACGAGCAACCUGUGAAGGAUUAACUUACUGAUUAUGGUUUUAUCAAAUGGACACAAAUAUAUCUAUAGUGAGGGGAGUGCAACUACGGGACUUUAGUGGAAUGACCCGUUAGUUAGCGAAUGUUGAUUAACUCGGUUUAAAAGAGUUUAGCUAGUUAAUCUUGAAUCGUUGGAGCCCAUGAUCUAUAGGUCCAUUAGGUUCCUCUGCUAGCUCAUAUGGAUUAAACUUAGAACAGUGUGAUGAAAUAAGUCGAAUUGUUCGAAUUGGGAGAAGAAAGGGAAACCGACAAAUAUAGUGAUAUAGUCGUCGAUCUUCUAAUUAGAAAUAGAGCUUUAUGUUUUACAUACUAUAAGUAUGAAUGCGGAUUCAUACUAAGAAGCUCGGAAUUGGUCAAAAAUAGUAAAAAGUCAAAAUGUUGACUUUUGACUUUGAAAAGUCAAACUUUGACCGGCCUUAUAUUCAAAUGUGAUUUGAAUUUUGGAAAAAUGAAUGCGGAUUCAUGCUCGGGAGGUUGGAAUUAGUCAAGACGGACAAAAUGGUAAAAAAGUCAAAAUAUUGACUUUUGACUAAGAAAAGUCAAAGAUUGACUUUUGACUAGAAAUAUCUAAUGACCAUUUUACCCUUGGACUAAGUUAGUGGGAAAAUCCAACAUUUUGUUGGAUAAUCCCACUAACUCUUAGUGGGAUAUGUGGCUAUAUGAGAUAUAGACACCUAGCCCACUAAGUUCCACUAAUUGUUAGUGGAACAUUAGCUGUUGAGAUUUGGCAAAUGAAUUGCAUGCAUUUUUGCAUGUAAUUAGGUUAUAAAUAGAGGUGUUUUCAAAUGUUGAAGGACUUUUGCCUCUUUUAUCAUUUUCAUCAUCUCAACAAAAAGAAUUCCAAUCUCAUUUUAUCUCCAUUACUUUCUACACCAAAAUUGGGUCCCACAACCCGGUUCUUUGUCUAGAGGAUAGCAGUUGAGUACUAGUGGUGGUCUCGGUUAGAAUUGGUAAGAAGAUAUCGAACCUUUUGAAAGCUUCAAAGGUAAUAUUUCUUAAAACCCUAAUUUGAUUAGUUUAUGGUUAUAUGUUAAUUGUGACAAUUAGGGUAGAAAUUCGAUUCUUUUCCGCUUUGCAUGACUUAGGUCUAUCACCAUCAACCAGAGAUCCAUGACCAAUUCCAUUCAUAAAUGUGUCCACACCAUUCGGCUUCGGCCCAUUUACCGGCUCACUAGGUUUCAUCAAGUUUUCAUUCAAAACAAUCGGCCCACACGCCUUUGGGCCAAC
Molecule: long non-coding RNA, 8067 nt
Filed under: Cucumis sativus (cucumber)
Lineage: Eukaryota; Viridiplantae; Streptophyta; Magnoliopsida; Cucurbitales; Cucurbitaceae
Description: long non-coding RNA (CSAT_LNC003149)
Source: RNAcentral